CUGACGCUGAAGCUCGAAGGUGCGGGUAUCGAACAGGAUUAGAUACCCUGGUAGUCCGCACAGUAAACGAUGGAUGCUCGUUGUUCGCCCAAUUGAGGGUGAGUGACUUAGGGAAACCGUUAAGCAUCCCACCUGGGGAGUACGCCGGCAACGGUGAAACUCAAAGGAAUUGACGGGGGCCCGCACAAGCGGAGGAACAUGUGGUUUAAUUCGAUGAUACGCGAGGAACCUUACCCGGGCUUGAACUGUAGGAGAACGAUACAGAGAUGUUGAGGUCCUUCGGGACUCCUAUGGAGGUGCUGCAUGGUUGUCGUCAGCUCGUGCCGUGAGGUGUCGGCUUAAGUGCCAUAACGAGCGCAACCCUUUUCGUCAGUUGCCAUCAGGUCAUGCUGGGCACUCUGGUGAUACUGCCGCCGCAAGGUGUGAGGAAGGUGGGGAUGACGUCAAAUCAGCACGGCCCUUACGUCCGGGGCUACACACGUGUUACAAUGGGGCAUACAGAAGGCCGGUUCGUGGCAACACGGAUCCAAUCUUUAAAGUGCCUCGUAGUUCGGAUUGGGGUCUGCAACCCGACCCCAUGAAGCUGGAUCGCUAGUAAUCG
This 601-nucleotide ribosomal RNA is filed under the name uncultured bacterium. Its description in RNAcentral is "bacterial SSU rRNA". It matches the Rfam family "Bacterial small subunit ribosomal RNA", at positions 740 to 1344 of the family's 1533-position model. The record is from RNAcentral.